Molecule: long non-coding RNA, 1125 nt
Filed under: Homo sapiens (human)
Lineage: Eukaryota; Metazoa; Chordata; Mammalia; Primates; Hominidae
Description: HSALNT0304489
Source: RNAcentral
UCCAUCUCAAAAAAAAAAAAAAAAAAAAGAAAGAAAGAAACCAACAGGAAAAAAUGGACUAGUAACUUUAAUAAGGAUUUUGUUUAAAAAGCUUGAAUGGCCAAAAAAAUCUGAAAAGAUAUUUAAUCCCAUUAGGAACUAGGGAAAAUCCAGUUAAAACACAAGAUACUAUAACAUACCCACCAGAUUGGCAAAAAUGUAUAAACUUGACAUUACCAAAUGCUGAAGAGGAUGUAAGGUAACUUGCAUGGUGCUACAGGAGUGAAAAAUGGCAAAGCAACUUUGGAAAAUAAUUUGAUGUUUCUUUAUAAUGUUUACAUGUGCAUUUCUUUCCAUCUAGGAGACACACUUUCACACGCGCCCCAGAAUAAUGUGCAAGAAUGUUCACAGCAGUAUUAUGUCCAUCAACAACAGAAUGGACACAGAACUUGGUACUCCACAGUGUGAAGGUACCACAGCAGCAAUGAAGGGCAGCCACUGCAGUUACACGCCAUCAGCAUGGACUCAUCUGUCAACCCCCAACAGAAGGAAGGCACAAGAGAAUAAAUGCAGUACAAUUCCACAUGUAUAAAGUUCAAGGGCAUGCAAAGUGAAACUAUAGGCAGGCACAGGAGGGAAGCAAAUUGAGGAUGAUUAUCACAAAAAUCAGUUAAGAAAACACAAACUGCAUCAUCCAAAAAUACACCUUUGGUCCACGGAUGCCACUGGAAGACAUCUGAAUUUUAGACCUCCAGAGAGAAGAUCUGGGUGGCUAGCUCCAGAGUGGAGGCAUGCUUGCUUUUUCUUUACACUUGUGAAGAGGAAUGGAUCCGGACAUCUGCAAUCUGGGUAGAGGACGGCAGGCAGCAAGCUUAGCCACUCGGCCAGGCUUCUCAGCCCUUACUCUAGACAUGUGAUCCUUCCUCCACGUGAUAUACUUCACAACUUUCUUACGGCUACUCAAGGCAUCCCAAGUUAAAAGGAAGGGUCUCACUCUGUUGCCCAGGCUGGAGUGCAGUAGUACAAUCAUGGCUUAUUGUAGCGUUGACCUCUCAGGAUCAAGUGAUCCUCUUAUGUCAGCCUCCUGGGUAGCCGGGACCACAAGUGCACACACCACCAUACCCAGGUAAUUUUUAUUUUUUUAAU